This 1494-nucleotide long non-coding RNA is filed under the name Heterocephalus glaber (naked mole-rat). RNAcentral describes it as "lncRNA (ENSHGLG00100037335.1)". The record is from RNAcentral. Lineage: Eukaryota; Metazoa; Chordata; Mammalia; Rodentia; Bathyergidae.
GGAAGAGGAGAAAUAAGAAGACACUUGGUAAAGUGCUUGAUACAUAGCACAGGCUCAAAAACUGCCCACGGCCACGCAGGUGGGCGCGGCACCGGAGCCACCUCGGACCGGAGCCCAACCGGCUCCGGGGACUGUGCGUGCGACAGGGUAGUGCGGCGGCGCUCGCGCUGACCGGGUACUGGACCUCCGCCUGCAAUCCGGACGCCUCCAUAAAAACUGCGAGCUCCCCGGCACCCCACCCUCCAGCACAGAGCUGCGGCUCUGAAAAGUCAGCAACUGGAGACGCCAUUGCCCUUCCCACCCUUGCGGUGGCCGGGGACGAGCCAGUCGCAGUGCCUGUGUGCGGCGGGGCGCGCCGCAGGUAGGGGACAGCAGAUCUGCGAAGCCAUUUUCUGGGCGGAUUUGCAGUCAUUUCUACUCUUGAGAGAACUGACGGGGAUAGUAUGGCGGGGGCCUGGGGGGUGCCAGAUGAUGUCACCAGGAGCAGUUGACCUGGGGGUUACUCUGUUCUCUGACCCUAACCUGCUCCAAGACCCAGCGCCAGACGUCAGUCUUUUCAUCUACAAAAAUGCAAGGAAGGAUUAAAAUCAGACCGUGAAAAAUGCUUACAGCACAAGUAUCCAGGGAGGCUGUCCUUUUCAACUGCAUUGAAUAACCACCGAGAACAGCCCAAAGGUGGACAAUGGGGAAUGUGCAAGUAAAAUAGGAUCUACGUACAGAAUGGGUCACCACCAUGUCACAGUUGGAAGGAAUAAACUGGGUCUAUAGGCAGGGACCUGGAGCUCAAAAUACAUUAAGUAAAGGCAGACAGUUAUGGAAUAAUGCAUACAGCACAGUACAAUUUUUGCAGCACAUCAAACAGAAUUGUGGAUUUUCUAUUGUUAUGUUCAAUCGUUUGUGAAACUAUCUUUGAAAAAAAAGAAUGGGAGAGACACACUACUAACUCAUAAGAGUGGCUGUGUCUGGGGAGAGGAGCAAGGAGUUGUGAUAGCAAAUAAAGGACAUAAGAAACUCCAGCUUUUUUUUCUAAUUUUUUUUGGUACCAGGGAUCGAACUCAGGACCUUGUGCUUGCAAGGCAGGCGGCGGCACCACUGAGCUAAAUCCUCGGCCCUGUGGGUUCAAUCUUUAGGGCUGAAAUAAAGAAAUGCUGAAAACAAAUACAGUUUUGGGGUUUUUUUGUGAAUGAAUACUGGGGAUCCAACUAGGGCCUAUGUGUGCUAAGCAUGUGUUCUACCACUGAACUAUUUCCCCAGCUGUCUUGUUCUAGUUUUUAAACAUACAGGGAAGGGAGGCAAGAGUGACUCUGUGACCCAUCAAGUCCCUCAGCUCAAAGACCCUCUGACCAUCCAUGUAUUUAUUGUAGGCAGUAGUCCUUAAGGACCUAGUACCCCCCUACUCCAAAGGGCUUACAAGGGGCUUGGGGCACCUGCUUCAGCUCCCUCCCCAGUGUCAAGUUCUUCCCCAGCGUCAAGUUUAAUCUCAACCCCUUCCAC